GCGCAGGGUCCUGCGGAGCGACGCCGGGGCAGGGGCCGAGCCUGGCCACGGGGCCGGGCCCUGCAGGAGGCCAGGAGCAGCGCUGGCACCAAAGCGCUUUUUUUUUGGCCGUGCAGCUUGCCUGGCCGGUUCCCGUGCCGCCGCCACCACCACCUGGGGCCGGGCGAUCUGUCACGGCUGCAGGUGGCCUUUCUGUUUUUAGCCUGUGCUUCGAGGCUGCUCCUGCGAGGCUGCAGGACUCCUGACGCUUUUUGCUUCUUUGCCCCACCUUUGCUGGAGGUUACGUUAUCCGGAGCUGGCUUGUUCUCUCUGGGCACCACAAGGCGGGCGGCAGCUGGUGGUAGGGCAGGAACCAGAGAGAACUGUAACCCCCAUGUAAACCAGCAGCUCUUCGCUGCUGGCGAACGGUUACAUGUGGGAUUUACAGGCCAGGGGAGGAGGUGGAGGGAGAAGCAGGCCGUUAUUCACGGCAGAGCUGCUGGCACGGAUGCGCCGGGAUCGCACCCCUCCAGCAGCUGCAGGGCCAGCGAGGAGCAGCCGCCCUGGCCCGGCCUCAGGGACCACAGCGCGGUCGGGGCGCCAGGCUCGGCAGGGACGCUCCUGCCCGGCCUCCAGUGCAGGGAGACGGGGCCGGCGCUCACCCACAGGAAGCACGCGCAGGUUGGCCCUGGCAAGGCGUCCCGAGGUCACUGUGUGCCGGCAUGGCUAUGUUGGCCCCCAGGACCCCAUAACCGCGUCGGGGAGCUGCUCCAAGUCCCGACCCGUGACUCAAGCCAGCCGAGGAGCUGGGGCUCAGCCAGAGCCGAGGGGAGCAGAAGGGCCGUGUGGUGCUGCCACCAGUCAGUGAGAGCCCAGCGGCACCAUGUGCUGUGCUGGCAGCCAGUUUCCCUGGCUUUUGGGGGUUGUUUUGUUUUGUUUUCCAGCAGAUGUUUGCUCUUUUCCUCUGUAAGCACCAGAAGUCUCCCUUUUGCUCAGAAACAGUUACGUUCUCCAAGCUUAUCAGUCAGGACUUGUCUCUUCUAAUGCCCCAGCCAAUUUUCUCCAUCUGACAGGGAAGCUGCUUCUGUGGAGCUGCUGUUCACCUUCCUGCUAGCUUCCUCACAACAGGAUUAUUAAACUAAACAGCCAUGUCCAUGAGCAAACACCGCUAACCCUGCAGGGCCCUCCAGGCACGAGCCCAGGUCCCUGCGCCCAGCUGCCACGGCGCAGCGCAGAGCUGCCCCUGUCCUCCGCAGCAGCUCCUCGGGUGGUGGAGACGCUGCCUUAGUGCCCUUGCCCUCCACAGGACCCAGGCACGCAGGAGAAGUUCUUCAGUGUCUGGAAAUAUUCCAGGCAUUCAGAUGAAAAAAAUUCCUAAGAGAUUAAUUAAGAGUUUGGAUGGAUCACAUGAUAUGCAUGAAAUGCAUGAUAACGUCUAAUUAAAGGAAACUUGGCAAAGAAACCCACUGGGCCUGGAGGGAGAGCAGAGGAGAGGGCAAGACGUCCAGCACAGAAAACGCUUGUGCCACCUCUCAAGAAAAGAC
This 1523-nucleotide long non-coding RNA is filed under the name Apteryx owenii (little spotted kiwi). RNAcentral's name for it is "lncRNA (ENSAOWG00000008790.1)". The record is from RNAcentral. Lineage: Eukaryota; Metazoa; Chordata; Aves; Apterygiformes; Apterygidae.